This 466-nucleotide ribosomal RNA is filed under the name uncultured bacterium. Its description in RNAcentral is "partial 16S ribosomal RNA". It matches the Rfam family "Bacterial small subunit ribosomal RNA", at positions 338 to 795 of the family's 1533-position model. The record is from RNAcentral.
CCUAGGGUCGCUGCAGUCGAGAAUAGUCUACAAUGGACGAAAGUCUGAUAGUGCGACGCCGCGUGGAUGAAGAAGCAUUUCGGUGUGUAAAGUCCUUUUCUGUGUGAGCAAUGUUUUCCAGGUUAAUAGCUUGGAGAAAGCGAUAUUAACACAGGAAUAAGCUCCGGCUAACUCCGUGCCAGCAGCCGCGGUAACACGGGGGGAGCAAGCGUUGUCCGGAAUUACUAGGCGUAAAGGGUAAGUAGGCGGAAUUGUAAGUCAGAUGUUAAAGGCACCGGCUCAACCGGGGUAUGGCAUUUGAUACUGUAAUUCUAGAGUAAGGUGGGGGAAGACGGAAUUCCUGGUGUAGCGGUGGAAUGCGCAGAUAUCAGGAGGAACACCAGAGGCGCAGGCGGUCUUCUAUACCAUUACUGACGCUCAAUUACGAAGGUGUGGGUAUCAAACAGGAUUAGAUACCCGGGUAGUC